RNAcentral lists this ribosomal RNA (75 nucleotides) under Aeribacillus composti. RNAcentral describes it as "partial 16S ribosomal RNA". It matches the Rfam family "Bacterial small subunit ribosomal RNA", at positions 1 to 73 of the family's 1533-position model. The record is from RNAcentral. Lineage: Bacteria; Bacillati; Bacillota; Bacilli; Caryophanales; Bacillaceae.
UUUUUUUGGAGAGUUUGAUCCUGGCUCAGGACGAACGCUGGCGGCGUGCCUAAUACAUGCAAGUCGAGCGGACCG